Molecule: ribosomal RNA, 468 nt
Filed under: uncultured bacterium
Lineage: Bacteria
Description: partial 16S ribosomal RNA
Rfam family: Bacterial small subunit ribosomal RNA
Source: RNAcentral
GACGAACGCUGGCGGCGUGCUUAACACAUGCAAGUCGAACGGAAAGGCCCUGCUUUGGUGGGGUGCUCGAGUGGCGAACGGGUGAGUAACACGUGAGUAACCUGCCCUUGACUUUGGGAUAACUUCAGGAAACUGGGGCUAAUACCGGAUAGGAGCUCCUGCUGCAUGGUGGGGGUUGGAAAGUUUCGGCGGUUGGGGAUGGACUCGCGGCUUAUCAGCUUGUUGGUGGGGUAGUGGCUUACCAAGGCUUUGACGGGUAGCCGGCCUGAGAGGGUGACCGGCCACAUUGGGACUGAGAUACGGCCCAGACUCCUACGGGAGGCAGCAGUGGGGAAUAUUGCACUAUGGGCGGAAGCCUGAUGCAGCAACGCCGCGUGCGGGAUGACGGCCUUCGGGUUGUAAUCCGCUUUCGCCUGUGACGAAGCGUGAGUGACGGUAAUGGGUAAAGAAGCACCGGCUAACUACGUG